Molecule: RNA transcript, 2241 nt
Organism: Piliocolobus tephrosceles (Ugandan red Colobus)
Lineage: Eukaryota; Metazoa; Chordata; Mammalia; Primates; Cercopithecidae
Gene name: protein fem-1 homolog B pseudogene
Exons: 1
Source: RefSeq, a predicted model, not a curated record
CGGCGGCCGCCAUGGAGAUCCCCUCGGCCCAGGGCCGGCGCCUGGUACCUGGCGGGCGGCCCUGACCGCCUUCCUCCCUGCCAGGGCUGGGUCGCGGACGUGCCCCUAGCGGCACUCGGCCUCCUCCGCAUCUCCGCCUUCCCCGGCCCGCACUGCUGCCUGGGCGCGGCGGCGGCGACGGCGCCCUGUUGAAUGGGCUGUGAGGGCCCAGGUUUGAAGCGCUGGCGAACGCGGCCUCCGGGGGCGCACAGCAGCAGCAGCGGUGGCGACCAAACGGGUGUUGGAGUUGGCGGCGGCCAUGGAGGGCCUGGCUGGCUAUGUAUACAAGGCGGCCAGCGAAGGCAAGGUGCUGACUCUGGCCGCCUUGCUUCUCAACCGGUCUGAAAGCGACAUCCGCUAUCUGCUUGGCUAUGUCAGCCAGCAGGGAGGGCAGCGCUCCACGCCUCUCAUCAUCGCAGCCCGCAACGGACACGCAAAGGUGGUACGCAUGCUCUUGGAACAUUACCGGGUGCAGACUCAGCAGACUGGCAGCGUCCGCUUCGACGGGUAUGUCAUUGAUGGUGCCACUGCUCUUUGGUGUGCAGCUGGAGCAGGACAUUUUGGAGUUGUUAAACUUCUAGUCAGCCAUGGAGCCAAUGUGAACCAUACCACAGUAGCUAAUUCAACCUCCCUGCGGGCAGCAUGCUUUGAUGGCAGACUGGACAUUGUGAAAUACUUGGUUGAAAAUAAUGCCAAUAUCAGCAUUGCCAACAAAUAUGACAACACCUGCCUAAUGAUUGCAGCAUAUAAGGGACACACUGAUGUGGUCAGAUACCUUUUAGAACAACGUGCUGAUCCCAAUGCUAAAGCACAUUGUGGAGCCACAGCAUUGCACUUUGCAGCUGAAGCUGGUCACAUAGAUAUUGUGAAAGAGCUGAUAAAAUGGCGUGCUGCUAUAGCAGUGAAUGGCCAUGGGAUGACGCCAUUGAAAGUAGCUGCCGAAAGCUGUAAAGCUGAUGUCGUUGAACGGUUGCUCUCUCAUGCUGAUUGUGACCGAAGAAGUCGGAUUGAAGCUUUGGAACUCUUGGGUGCCUCCUUUGCAAAUGACCCUGAGAACUAUGACAUCAUAAAGACAUACCACUAUCUAUAUUUAGCCAUGUUAGAGAGGUUUCAAGAUGGUGAUAACAUUCUCGAAAAAGAGGUUCUUCCACCAAUCCAUGCUUAUGGGAAUAGAACUGAAUGUAGAAAUCCUCAGGAACUGGAGUCCAUUCCGCAAGACAGAGAUGCUCUUCAUAUGGAAGGCCUUAUAGUUCGGGAACGGAUUUUAGGUGCUGACAAUAUUGAUGUUUCUCAUCCCAUCAUUUACAGGGGAGCUGUUUAUGUGGAUAACAUGGAAUUUGAGCAGUGUAUCAAGUUGUGGCUUCACGCCCUGCACCUCAGACAAAAAGGUAACAGGAACACCCACAAGGAUCUUCUUCGAUUUGCUCAAGUUUUCUCACAAAUGAUACAUUUGAAUGAAACUGUGAAGGCCCCAGACAUAGAAUGUGUUUUGAGAUGCAGUGUUUUGGAAAUAGAACAAAGUAUGAACAGAGUGAAAAAUAUUUCAGAUGCUGAUGUCCACAAUGCUAUGGACAAUUAUGAAUGUAAUAUCUAUACCUUUCUGUAUUUAGUGUGCAUCUCUACCAAAACACAGUGCAGCGAAGAAGAUCAGUGCAAAAUUAACAAGCAGAUCUACAACCUGAUUCAUCUUGAUCCCAGAACUCGUGAAGGUUUCACCUUGUUGCAUCUGGCUGUCAAUUCCAAUACUCCAGUUGAUGAUUUCCACACCAAUGACGUCUGCAGCUUUCCAAAUGCACUUGUCACAAAGCUCCUACUGGACUGUGGUGCAGAGGUGAAUGCCGUGGACAAUGAGGGAAACAGUGCCCUUCAUAUUAUCGUUCAGUACAACAGGCCCAUCAGUGAUUUUUUGACCUUGCACUCCAUCAUCAUUAGCCUAGUUGAAGCUGGAGCUCACACUGACAUGACAAAUAAACAGAAUAAGACUCCGCUAGACAAAAGUACAACUGGGGUAUCUGAAAUACUACUUAAAACUCAAAUGAAGAUGAGUCUCAAGUGCCUGGCUGCCCGAGCAGUUCGGGCUAAUGACAUUAACUACCAAGACCAGAUCCCCAGAACUCUUGAAGAGUUUGUUGGAUUUCAUUAAGUGACUGGAUAUGUAAAGUUGUUUAAUGUGGUGCUAAAAAGUAAAGGACUUUAAUCACA